AAGUCGUAACAAGGUCUCCGUUGGUGAACCAGCGGAGGGAUCAUUACGAGAGUGUCACCACUCCCAACCCAUUGUUUACCUACCCGUCCACCGUGCUUCGGCAGGCAGCCCUGUGGGACAGAGCCUCGCCCCCCUCGCGGGGGGUGCCUGCCGCUGGCCAACCACAAACUCUUGUUAUUUUAGUACCAUCUGAGUCUUCCACAAAUGAACAAAACUUUCAACAACGGAUCUCUUGGUUCUG
Molecule: unclassified non-coding RNA, 241 nt
Filed under: air metagenome
Description: partial contains small subunit ribosomal RNA, internal transcribed spacer 1, and 5.8S ribosomal RNA
Rfam family: Eukaryotic small subunit ribosomal RNA (bases 1-46)
Source: RNAcentral